Papaver somniferum (opium poppy) is the source of this 1844-nucleotide RNA transcript. It is a transcript of the gene named clathrin heavy chain 1-like, with no coding region annotated. The transcript has 7 exons. Lineage: Eukaryota; Viridiplantae; Streptophyta; Magnoliopsida; Ranunculales; Papaveraceae. The record is from RefSeq and is a predicted model, not a curated record.
CUCCGCCUCUCCCCCACCUUUCUUCUUCUCUGUAAUAGAGAUUCAUCAAAUUUCUUUACAAAACAGUAGUUAGUUCAUGAAAUUUCUCAUCAGUAAAACCCUAGAGUCAAGAUCCCUUUUAUUUCUCAUUAACAAAGUUCAAAAUAAAUUAUAACACACAAAUCAGAAAAACCAAAGUUAGAAAUCUAAGAGGAAACCAUAGAUUUUUAUGGCAAACUGAAGUAAGUUCUCAGUUGUAGAACUUUAAUGUUGUUUCUCAAUAUUUUCCAUAAAUUUUCUUGAUUAGAUAUCAAAAUCAUACUUCUAGGGUUCGUCGAAAUGGAGAAAUUUUUUGUAUUUGGUUUUGGUUUUAGGUUACCUGUCAUGAAAAAUCCCUAGAUAGAGUGGUUCUUACUCUGGACAGGGUUCACAUAAGAAUCAACCCUACUGAUUUGUUUUGAAGAGAUCUGAGGUAUGGGUUUUCAACUUUUCUUCUCCCUUUCACGGAAAAGGCCUUAGCUUCAGCUGCGGUACCAAAGGAUGCAUCAACACCAGCUGGAGAGUGGUGGAUUUCUUUGGAACCCUCUCGAAUGGGCGCUGGAGUGCAUGAAGGACCUUUUACUUGUUAAUGUGAGGGGAAAUCUCCAGAUAAUUGUACCGCCAAAGAAUAUUCUGAGCAAUUGGGUGUUGAGGCAUGUUUUUGAGCAAUUCAAGUCUUAUGAGGGUUUAUAUUUUUUCUUGGGAUCGUAUUUGAGCACCAGUGAGGAUCCUGACAUUCACUUUAAGUAUAUCGAGGUUGUAGCUAAAACUGGACAAAUCAAAGAUGUUGAACGCGUGACUAGAGAAUCAAACUUCUAUGACGCGGAGAAAACAAAGAAUUUUCUUAUGGAGGCCAAGCAUCCUGAUGCAAGAUCCCUGAUCAAUGUAUGUGAUUGUGUUGGUUUUGUUCCAGAUGUCACCCACUACCUCUACACGAACAACAUGCUCCUAUAUUUCGAAGGUUAUAUUCACAAGGUGAAUCCAGGAAACACUCCAUUAGUUAUGGGUCAGCUACUUGAUGAUGAACCCAAUUCUUGGAGCAUCUUGCGAGUGAAGGAAGCCAAGAUGCACAUGUCUGCAAUAAUUUGGGUAAACUAAUCAUAGACAGCAAUAACAAUCCUGAGCAUUUUUUCACGUCCAACCCAUAUUAUGAUCCACGAGUGGUAUCAAAUACUCUCUUCAACAAUUCAAAGUUGGAAGCACUACCGGAAACCCAGCCCACGUAGGAAUGCAACUCUGCAAUGCAGAAUUUAACUCCUUCCCAGUUGGUUAACAUUCCUAGUUCUGCUUUAACCACUGGUAACUCAACCGGGAUUGAAGAUCUAGUGGCACCUCGGUUCAAAGAAAACAAUAUUUACAUCAGUGCUCCACAGGUAACAAAGAAUGCGAGGAAGAAAUAAAAACAAGCUGGCUCUGUUUGUGUUCCCUCCAUUAUGGUAUACUGAAAUGCAACUGGUGGUUUCGGUAUGUUAUUUGGUGUUCACUUCAUUGCAGUUUACUGAAAUGCAACCGGUGAUUGUGGUCAUGGUAUAGAAGUUUCGGAAGAAGGAUACUAAAGGGGUUAUCAAGCAUCUUUCACAGGGGAACCACCAGCAGUAAGAACGCUCGAGGUCGGGGUUAUCAAGCAUCUUUCACAGGGGAACCACCAGCAGUAAGAACGCUCGAGGUCGACAUCUGCCUUUUUUGCUACAAGAUUAGUAAGCAAACCAAAAUAUAGUCUCUGUAAGGUUGUAACAUCAUCAUUUAUAUAUAUUAAUAUGAAAAGCUAGACUUCCAUUCAAUGUAAAGAAGUGAACUACAUUUUCAGGUAAUUAUAUGAAAUUUUA